This is a long non-coding RNA of Myotis myotis, 331 nucleotides long. RefSeq lists it as uncharacterized. The record is from RefSeq and is a predicted model, not a curated record. The transcript is spliced from 3 exons. NCBI's taxonomy places the organism in Eukaryota, Metazoa, Chordata, Mammalia, Chiroptera, Vespertilionidae.
CUCUGAGUUGCUAGAUGGCAGGAAGUGGAGAAGCAGAAGGAGCACUCAGGACCAAGUAGAAACGUGAAAAAAAUUGUUGGUACCUGCAGGAUAAGGUAUUCUUCUAAAUUGCAUUUAUGUAUCAGCAUCUAGCAGCUGCUUGCAUUCCUUGUCCCUUCCUCACGUCACUCCAGACUUUUGCUUCUGUGGUCACAUCUACUACUGAUCCUGUGGAUAUCCUGGCCUUCUCUCCUAAGUACUUGGUGAUUACAUCUUUGGGCCCAUCUGGAUAACCCUGGACAAUUGCUUCAUCUUGAGGUCCUUUAUCACAUCUGCAAAGGCCCUUUUGCCA